CGUCCCUCACCCCCCCCUCUUGUGCCCACAGCACUAGGCGGGGAGGUGGAUGUGGGCCGACCUCUCGCUAGUCGCGGGGCGGCCUGAAAGUCAAGAUUGGCAUCGCCGCGGGUCCAACCUCCGCAGCGCCGCACAACAAGACGUGCCAGUGAGAAGUCUCUCAUUUAGCGUCGGACCGUGUGGUUUGCGGACCAAGGGUUAGAACCAUCGCUCAGUCUCUGAGUGAGGCUUUGUCAACUCCCUCGUCGCCAGGCGAUACGCUUCACCGCGUGUCGCAUACCUGAACAC
Molecule: unclassified non-coding RNA, 288 nt
Filed under: uncultured Rhizophydium
Lineage: Eukaryota; Fungi; Chytridiomycota; Chytridiomycetes; Rhizophydiales; Rhizophydiaceae
Description: sequence contains ITS2
Source: RNAcentral